CCUACGGGUGGCUGCAGUCGAGAAUCAUUCACAAUGGGGGAAACCCUGAUGGUGCGACGCCGCGUGGGGGAAUGAAGCUCUUCGGAUUGUAAACUUCUGUCAUGUGGGAGCAAAUUAAAAAGAUAGUACCCAAAGAGGAAGAGCCGGCUAACUCUGUGCCAGCAGCCGCGGUAAUACCGAAGUCUUAAGCGUUGUUCGGAAUCACUUGGCUUAAAGGGUGCGUAGGCUGUUUCGUAAGUCGCGUGUGAACGGCGCGGGGUCAACCCGCGGAGGGCAGAUGACACUGCGAGACUAGAGUAAGGGAGAGGUAUGCGGAAUUCGCGGUGUAGCGGUGAAAUGCGUAGAUAUCGAGAGGAACUCUGAUGGCGAAGGCGGGUUCCUGGAGAUUAACUGACGCUGAGGCACGAAGGCGAGGGGAGCGAAAGGGAUUAGAUACCCUAGUAGUC
RNAcentral lists this ribosomal RNA (446 nucleotides) under uncultured bacterium. RNAcentral describes it as "partial 16S ribosomal RNA". It matches the Rfam family "Bacterial small subunit ribosomal RNA", at positions 338 to 795 of the family's 1533-position model. The record is from RNAcentral.